Molecule: long non-coding RNA, 205 nt
Filed under: Elaeis guineensis (African oil palm)
Lineage: Eukaryota; Viridiplantae; Streptophyta; Magnoliopsida; Arecales; Arecaceae
Description: long non-coding RNA (EGUI_LNC044297)
Source: RNAcentral
CUCACAAGGACUACCCUGGUCAAGGUUUUGCUAAAUUAAAAUACGACUGUACAUAGCUCCUAAAUUAGAGUGGUCAAUCUCAUCUUGACACAUGCACCGACAAGUCAAGUACUUGACUACACCUAGUAGCCUUCCGUCACUGAAUUAAAAAUUCAGGUAGUCCAGUGCCUAAGUACAGUGAGUUGCUUGCAAGUCAUCGUGGCGG